UGGCCCAGCGCCGCGGCCCGCAUCCUGGCCGUAGCCGCCCGGAGGUGCAGUCGCCGCCGCCUGGUCGGAACGUCUGGCCCAGGAGCAUCCAACUCGGGGUUGUGGAGCUGCUCGGUGAGGGAGCCCACGACCACGGGCGACAGGUGCAUCAGACCCUCGGAGAUCUUCACCCCGAUGGACUCCGCAGCCAGCUCAAAGGAAAAGGGCCCCUGGAGCUUCUCGGCCAGCAGCAGGAGGCCAUCUUGAGGGAAGAGAAGGAAGAAAGGAGAUAUCCGCCCCAUUCAGGCUCCAGUCCCCUGCUGCUGAGACAGCCGUGGGCCACAUUGAGGCAGAAGCCCCGGCAGGGCAUGAGCGAGGGGACGCCCCGGCAAAGUGGGCAGCCGAUCAGCCGCAUCAGAGCCUGCCUGCAGCCUUCAGUCAUGGGUACCUAGGGGCAGAGAAUCAUGCUGUGUGCCAUCUACAAGCACCUGAGCUGCCUGCUGUCAGCCAAGCCUAGUGCUUGAGCAUGAGUCAAAUACUCCUGGCCCAUCUCCCCAGGCUGUAAUAUUGGGAGCGCUGGUGACCCAAGCACGUGAGACCACCAGACUGCCCAGGACCUCAGGAGGGAGCUUCCUAGUGGUCAGGUUGCAGACUUCACCUCCUGGGAGGGGUGUUACCGGAGGGGAGGGGGAAGAUUCAGGGCCCAGAGUGAGCUGAAGAUGGCUGCAGAGGGAGGGUUAACUGGGAGGUCAGGGACACACAGGAUGGGUGAGUGGUGGAGGGAAGGGGAAAUCAUUGAGAGAUUCUGAGAGACCCAGCAGGGGCAGUACUCCAAUGUCUGACUGCUGUGGAGAUGAACAAACCCUCAGACUGGCAGGGGGCAUGAGUCAUUGGAAGGGUCAGAGGUCACAGGAGAGGUCAUGACCCUGCCUGGCCUCCAUCUUUCCUGAUGUACUUAGAGCCUAGAGGCUAAUAACUGAAGGCCCUAGGCUUCUCCCGCCAGCUGGUGCCUGUGGUGUCCUCCCAGAGACUUCCCCCUCUUGCCUCUCCCUCCCUGGACCUUGCCCACAUUUGGGCCCCUUCUGACCUUAAGUGCUUCACUGACCACAUUUCUUCCAGUCUCCAGACCUUGGACAAAGGCCCGGGCAGCAACCAGGGCCCGGGUUAUCUGGAGGAAGGGAAAGAAAAUGAGGGGAACAAAACCCACAAAAAGACAAAACCCAAACCCACGAAGUUGUCAGUCAAGGGUCAUUCAAGACUGGAGCGGAGAGACCACCAAGGAGAUGAGCAUUGGAGGGGGUGGGGGUGUUAGAUUUGCGGGGUUAUCUUGGGAUGGGUGUAAUGUUGGGUGAUAUAGGGGGGCAGGUCAAUAGGUCCAAAGGAAUGAUCGUCUAGAAGGAUCAGGGGAACUUGGUUUGGUAAGAGCUGGAGGGAUUGUGUUGUACAGGGGUUGGAGAUAAACUAUGCAUCAGAACAUUGAACUUGAAGCCGGGAGACUGGGGUGUAAGACACAGUACCACCACUUAUUGGCUGUAAGACUUGAACCUCUGGGAGCUCCAUUUUUCUCCUCUGUAAAAUAAAGAUAUUUCUAUCUAUCUCAAA
Molecule: long non-coding RNA, 1581 nt
Organism: Jaculus jaculus (lesser Egyptian jerboa)
Lineage: Eukaryota; Metazoa; Chordata; Mammalia; Rodentia; Dipodidae
Exons: 3
Source: RefSeq, a predicted model, not a curated record